CGUUAAGUCAGAUGUGAAAGACCCGGGCGUUAACCUCGGAAUUGCAUUUGAAACUGGCAGGCUAGAGCUUGUAGAGGGGGUAGGAAGUUUCAGGUGUAGCGGUGAAAUAGCGUAGAGAUCUGAAGGAAUACCAGUGGCGAAGGCGGCCCCCUCGGACAAAGACUGACGCUCAGAUGCGAAAGCGUGGGGAGCAAACAGGAUUAGAUACCCUGGUAG
RNAcentral lists this ribosomal RNA (216 nucleotides) under uncultured bacterium. Its description in RNAcentral is "partial 16S ribosomal RNA". It matches the Rfam family "Bacterial small subunit ribosomal RNA", at positions 581 to 793 of the family's 1533-position model. The record is from RNAcentral.